Molecule: small RNA, 274 nt
Filed under: Vigna angularis var. angularis
Lineage: Eukaryota; Viridiplantae; Streptophyta; Magnoliopsida; Fabales; Fabaceae
Description: Non-protein coding transcript
Source: RNAcentral
GAAAGUUUUGCAGAAAGAAAUUGAGGAACUCAAGUGCAAUCUUGCGGAUAUUUCAUCCACUUCUGAUGACGGUUCUCAAAUGUUGAAGCAGGAUUAUCUUCAAAAGUUGAAUGCUCUAGAGGCACAGGUAUCUGAGUUGAAAAGGAAGCAAGAAGCUCAAGCUCAAGUCCUGAAACAAAAACAGAAAAGUGAAGAGUUUGCAAAAGGACUUCAGGAUGAGAUACACAGAAUUAAAGCACAAAAGGUUCAUCUUCAAAAUAAGAUUAAGCAGGAA